This 67-nucleotide non-coding RNA is filed under the name Actinophytocola xinjiangensis. Lineage: Bacteria; Bacillati; Actinomycetota; Actinomycetes; Pseudonocardiales; Pseudonocardiaceae. The record is from RNAcentral.
ACGGCGGCGCACUCCCGCACCGCACCGGACGAGCGUGUCGUACCCGGCCAGGCAAAGACGACACGUC